UUAACUCUAAUUUGCAUGGAGUUGGAAAGUUUGCCUACACUUGCCGCUAGGGGCGCUGUUCCCACUGCAUACAAAUAAAAGUUA
This 84-nucleotide microRNA precursor is filed under the name Bombyx mori (domestic silkworm). Its description in RNAcentral is "mir-2807 microRNA precursor family". It matches the Rfam family "mir-2807 microRNA precursor family". The record is from Rfam by way of RNAcentral. Lineage: Eukaryota; Metazoa; Arthropoda; Insecta; Lepidoptera; Bombycidae.